RNAcentral lists this long non-coding RNA (2029 nucleotides) under Canis lupus familiaris (dog). RNAcentral's name for it is "lncRNA (ENSCAFG00845003697.1)". Lineage: Eukaryota; Metazoa; Chordata; Mammalia; Carnivora; Canidae. The record is from RNAcentral.
ACAUACAGGGACACAGACAUUUUGAUAUGUAGGAUACUACCCAACAUUUUAAAGACCCAUCAGAGGCAUGAGCUUCAUCUGAGAAGGUCACAUGAAUAGGUUGGGCUUAUAGAACGUCAGCAGUGGGGAAACAAAACCCAGCAAUCAAACUCUAUGGCCAUAAAUUAUCUUGAUCUGUAAGCAGAUGGAGCCAGAUCCAAACUGAAGAAAUAUCAGGAGGGGAUCAGAGUGGGUGAAGUGUGGGGGUCAGAGAUGAGAAACAGAAGAAAAGAGGGACGGGAAAAAAAAAGUGUCAUCUAGGACCACAGUUCUAUCUAGGAAACUUUGAGCCACAGUGACAUACUCUAUCAAAGCAAUGCCUCUAAUUCUCCAGGGAGCUUGAAGUAACUGCUCUAAUCUGGAAACAAAAUGGCAGAAAAGCAGAAUGAAGUGUAACAUCAAGUAGUAGAAUGAAAGAGAUUCUGGUAUAGAUUCCAUUUCAAGAGCUAACAUUUAGUGACUACUGAUGCUAUGUGCCAGGACCAUGCUAACCUUUAUCUGCAUUAGUUCACCUCCUUAACAACAUACAAAGUGAAACUCUUUGCUUCUUUUUCUAGAUGAACAGGCUUAGAGAAUCAAAUAUAUUGCCACAGGUUUCAAGAAAGUGAGAUAUCACCUCUCAUAGGAAAAUGUUGGUGAGGAGGCGGAGAAAGGGAACCCGGGUGCGUUGUGGGUGGGAAUGCAAGCUGGUGUAGCAGCUCUGGAAAACAGUAUGGAGGAUCCUCAAAAAAUUAAAAAUAGAACUACUCUAUGAUCCAGCAAUUCUACUUCUGAGUAUUUAUUCAAAGAAAUUGAAAGCACUAGCUCAAAAAGAUAUCUGUACCCCCAAGUUCACUAGAGCAUUACUUAAAAUAGCCAAGACAUGAAAACAACUUAAGUGUCCAUCAAAUGAUGAAUAUAUAUAUGCCAUGUUUUAUGUUUUAUUUAUUCAUGUAUUUUAUACACACACACACACACACACACACACACACACACACAUACACACAGGAAUAUUAUUCAGCCAUAGAAAAGAAGAAACUUCUGAUAUUCAUGACUACAUGGAUGGAACCUGAGAGCAUUAUGCUGAGUAAAAUAAGUCAGACAGAAAAAGGCAAAUACUUUAUGAUCCCACAUAUAUGUGGAAUCUAAAAAAACCUGAACUCACAGAUACAGCUACAUAUCAUGGUUGCCAGCAGGUGGGGGGAGCUGGGUGAAAUGGUUGAAGGGGAUCAAGAGGUACAGAAAAGAAGUAAAUGGCAUAGCUAGAUCUUAAACCCAAGGCCUUAAGCCCUGACUUUAAUCAUCAUGGUGUCUCCCUAAGUGGAACUAUUUUCUAUCGCCCAAGGUAGAUUAUAAACAUGCAUAUACACUAUAAACCCUCUCCCCCAACACACACACACAGUUUAUAAUAUACAUGUAAACAGUUCUUGCUCAGGUGUCUUUAGGGUAAAUUCUUAUGUUGCAGACCACAAAUGCUGCCAUAUUGCCCCUCAGGACUUCCCCCUUUUUUGGUUAGAAUUUCUUCCUUGAAACACAAAGAACAUUUCUGACAGGACUACGAGCUCUCUCCUGAUUUCUGUCUCCCCUAAGAGUCCUGGAAGCCUGCACACCACCUCCAGGCUCCCCUGUGGGAAGCUUCAGUGAGGUUCCUCAGUGGAUCUGCAGAGCCCGGGCUGAAAUAUGCCUACACAGAUGCUUAAGAGAGCGGUUAGGACAGGGUUAUAAAAAUAAAAACCUGGCUCGGUGCCUUCCUGUUAUUUUAUCUAUUAUGUACCCAGCACAGUGGUCUGCUUUGCAAAAGAGGCCAUAGAUGAAAAGUUUAUCCUGAGGCACCAGUGUGACUCAGUUGAGUAAGCACCCUACUCUUGGUUUGGCUCAGGUCAUGAUCUCAGGGUCCCAAGAUGGAGCCCCACCUCGGGCUCUGUGCUCAGCAUGGAGUCUGCUAGAGGGUUUCCUUCUUCUGCCACUCCUGCUGCCUGUGUGUGCACAUGCGCUCUGUGUGUCUCUCAAA